GCCCGGUGCACUGGCCCCAAGUGACUUAUGAGCGUCUGAAAUGUGGCUGUUGUGAAUCCAAGUGUUCUUGAAGUCGAUACCAGACUCCUGGAAAGCAGGCUUCCCAAAGUACAGCAAAGGUGCAGAUCUGACACCCCACACGAAGCAGAAGGGGUAGGCACCAAGCACAGUUGGAAAGAGCCCUGGCAGAGUUCCACUGGGAAUUUGAAAAAAGAAAUGUGUGCCCGCAGGAUUCCUAGCUCUUCCUUUUUCAAUGUUGGCUUCACAGCAGUGAUCAUGUCAAGCAAGUAUUAUUCAGCAGCCCCAGCCGGGUUAGUGUGUAAGGACUUGAACAGAUGCACAGAACAAAGGAACACCCCAUGGAAAUGUGGGGCAAAGCCUGGGACCCUCAGUCCAAAGUAGGAACUCCUGCCCCUCCCUUUAAGCACCUUAAAAUCAAUGAAAGGAGCACUGUAGCAAUAAAGAAUGAGGAGGAGUUUCACAUUCAAAAUCAUUUUGUUGGCUUGACAUCUAUCUCAACCACAACCGGGAGGUCGGUUUUUUUCUAGUUGACUUACUUCCUGAAGAUCUGAACAGAAUUGAAAGAUGAAAGAUCACAGUGCUGUCUCAUCACCAUGCACGCCUCUCUCUGACAAGCACGGAGACAUUUGGGCUCAUGGUUCCUUCCCAUUUGAUUUAUUAUGCUCUUUGACUCUGGGACAAAACCCCACAAACUCAUCUCUUAAUUACAUAGGCUGUUUUUGGGUUGUGAACAAAACAACAAGUGUAUUUUCUCCCCAUAUGGGUUGAAAUCUCCCGUGUGAUGUCCAGCUUUACCAUAAUACUGCGGGCUGGCUGGUUUACUUCCUGGCACUGCCAUCAGCCAGAAUGUGCUGGUGCAUCACAUUGUCUAACUCCCGGGCACCCUAUGGCCUUCCAGCUCACAGCCUUCCCUUCCUCAACAAGUGUCUCCACAUGGCAGUCCCGUGGGUGACCCAGCCAUCUCACGGGACCUGAGCCCCAUGGCUCUAGCUUCCUUCCCCUUUGUGUCACUUCAGGACUCAUAUUCACAGCUAAACCAGGGAUCUCGUGAUGGGCUGAACUGCACCUGCUGCUGUGUCUUGCUCAUUUCCCACAGAUGAUGCCAACCAUGGGGUAGCCACAUCUUAUCAGCUUUUAUGAGGAACAGUUGUACAGUCAACAGCAAGAUGGUGGAAUCCUGGUUGUCCCUGUGUUGGGUAAACCUCCUAAGAGCUUGCAGGGAAGAUGGAUUUGAAAUCCUUGAAUUAAUUCAUGCUCUUUUCUUGAAAUACAGUGAGUUGUGGUAACUUCCUGGAGAGCAGGGUCUCUGCCUGUUGCUCGUUUUCCUUCCCAUUGAGCCCCUUGCAUGGAUUUGAGUAUUUUCAGUGCUGAUUUCAUUACUGGAACUUGGCUCGAAGUCCCAGGAGCUCAGAAGAAAGGUCUUUGGAUGCUUCGUGUUGAAUUCUGUUUCUCUUCCCUGGUACGCAGACAGGGUGGGGAGGGGAAGCAAGAAAAACUAAGCAGACUGUUCAUUGGUGUCACUUUUGCACUAUUUUUCAUCUGCUUGGGGACAACGGUAUCUGUUCCAAAGGGACAGAAUGGGAAAUUUAAUUAAUGUAUUUAAAAUUCAAACCCCAAAUACAAAGAUAUGUGAGCCUUAAGAAAACUAGCUCUUCGAAUCCAAAUUCACAAGGAAAUUAUUGUAUCAGGAUGAGGAUGAAUUUACCUAUUGUGCUUGAUGGAAUUUGCCUGAGGAAAGAACCAGCCUUCCUGCUAGAUGUCAGUCCAACACUGAACGGCAGAUUGAAGCUUGUUGGAUGAUUACAGAAUCGAAGCAUUAUGGUCCUCACCCUUCCUAAGGGGCAUUUUAAUUCUCUAUAAUGGAUUAAUUGCCUUAAUUUUCCUUCAGGGAGUUUUUACACCUAUAAACUGGUCUGUUCCAUCACCUGGAAUCAGACCGUUUCCGCCCUUUGGCAAAGCUGGUUGCAAGGGCUUACUAUUUCUUCCCCUCAGAUUCAAUGUCAACUGCUGCUUAUUCAAUAGCUAAAUAAGUAAAUAUGUGUGUGCAUGUAUGUGUGUAUGUUUGCAUAGCUUUAUUGAUCUAUAAUUUACAUAUCAUAAAAAUUUGAUAUUUUGCAUAUACAUGAGUACAAAUUUAAUAGCACUUAGAUUUAUGGAAUCAUGGAGCUACCAGCACAAUUCUGUUUUAGAACAUUUCCAGCCCUCACAAAGCUUCCUCUUAACCCCUCCCAGUUAAUUCACACGUUCACCCCUCCCCUGGGCAACCACUGGUCUGCCUCUGUCCCUGGAGAUUUGUCUUUUGCAGACAUUUCCUGUAAGGGGAAAAUAUAAUCUGUAGAGUUAUUUUCUGUCUUUUUAUUUCAUUAACAUCAUGUUCUCGAGGUUGGUCAAGUUGUAGCAUGUGUCAUUCUUUUUUAUUGCUGAAGGGAUUCUACUGUGUGGUUGUACUCUGGUUGGUUGCAAAAAGCUUAUUUUUGAAUAGAAACUAACACCUGGAUCGAUAGAUUGGGAGUCCAGAGAAAAUCUGAGACAUGUCACCUGCUCUGAAGGUCCUUAACAUUGCAUUGG
This is a long non-coding RNA of Mustela erminea (ermine), 2589 nucleotides long. RefSeq lists it as uncharacterized. The record is from RefSeq and is a predicted model, not a curated record. Lineage: Eukaryota; Metazoa; Chordata; Mammalia; Carnivora; Mustelidae. The transcript has 5 exons.